RNAcentral lists this ribosomal RNA (468 nucleotides) under uncultured bacterium. RNAcentral's name for it is "partial 16S ribosomal RNA". It matches the Rfam family "Bacterial small subunit ribosomal RNA", at positions 28 to 507 of the family's 1533-position model. The record is from RNAcentral.
GACGAACGCUGGCGGCGUGCUUAACACAUGCAAGUCGAACGGAAAGGCCCUGCUUUUGUGGGGUGCUCGAGUGGCGAACGGGUGAGUAACACGUGAGUAACCUGCCCUUGACUUUGGGAUAACUUCAGGAAACUGGGGCUAAUACCGGAUAGGAGCUCCUGCUGCAUGGUGGGGGUUGGAAAGUUUCGGCGGUUGGGGAUGGACUCGCGGCUUAUCAGCUUGUUGGUGGGGUAGUGGCUUACCAAGGCUUUGACGGGUAGCCGGCCUGAGAGGGUGACCGGCCACAUUGGGACUAAGAUACGGCCCAGACUCCUACGGGAGGCAGUAGUGGGGAAUAUUGCAGAAUGGGCGGAAGCCUGAUGCAGCAACGCGGAGUGCGGGAGGACGGCUUUCGGGUGGUAAACCGCUUUCGCCGGUGACGAAGCGGGAGUGACGGUAAUGGGUAAAGAAGCACCGGCUAACUACGUG